RNAcentral lists this ribosomal RNA (253 nucleotides) under uncultured bacterium. RNAcentral's name for it is "partial 16S ribosomal RNA". It matches the Rfam family "Bacterial small subunit ribosomal RNA", at positions 524 to 776 of the family's 1533-position model. The record is from RNAcentral.
UACGUAGGCAGCAAGCGUUGUUCGGAAUUACUGGGCGUAAAGAGUGUGUAGGCGGUGUUCUAAGUUUGUCGUGAAAUCUCCCGGCUUAACUGGGAGGGUGCGGCGAAAACUGGAAUGCUAGAGGAUGGGAGAGGUAAGCGGAAUUCCUGGUGUAGCGGUGAAAUGCGUAGAUAUCGGGAGGAACACCGGUGGCGAAGGCGGCGACCUGGGUAGAUACUGACGCUGAGGUGCGAAAGCGUGGGGAGCAAACAGG